GACGAACGCUGGCGGCGUGCUUAACACAUGCAAGUCGAACGGAAAGGCCUCAGCUUGCUGGGGUACUCGAGUGGCGAACGGGUGAGUAACACGUGGGUGAUCUGCCUUGCACUCUGGGAUAAGCUUGGGAAACUGGGUCUAAUACCGGAUAUGAACUGCCUUUAGUGUGGUGGUUGGAAAGUUUUUUCGGUGCAAGAUGAGCUCGCGGCCUAUCAGCUUGUUGGUGGGGUAAUGGCCUACCAAGGCGUCGACGGGUAGCCGGCCUGAGAGGGUGUACGGCCACAUUGGGACUGAGAUACGGCCCAGACUCCUACGGGAGGCAGCAGUGGGGAAUAUUGCACAAUGGGCGGAAGCCUGAUGCAGCGACGCCGCGUGGGGGAUGACGGCCUUCGGGUUGUAAACUCCUUUCGACAGGGACGAAGCUUUUUGUGACGGUACCUGUAGAAGAAGCACCGGCUAACUACGUG
Molecule: ribosomal RNA, 467 nt
Filed under: uncultured bacterium
Lineage: Bacteria
Description: partial 16S ribosomal RNA
Rfam family: Bacterial small subunit ribosomal RNA
Source: RNAcentral